This 1131-nucleotide ribosomal RNA is filed under the name Smittium simulii. RNAcentral's name for it is "eukaryotic LSU rRNA". It matches the Rfam family "Eukaryotic large subunit ribosomal RNA", at positions 1 to 961 of the family's 3401-position model. The record is from RNAcentral. Lineage: Eukaryota; Fungi; Kickxellomycota; Harpellomycetes; Harpellales; Legeriomycetaceae.
GUCUGAACUCAAAUCAGGUAAGAUUACCCGCUGAAUUUAAGCAUAUUAAUAAGCGGAGGAAAAGAAACUAACAAGGAUUCCCUUAGUAACGGCGAGUGAAGCGGGAACAGCUCAAGCUUGAAAUCAGCAUUUGGUAAACAUAUGUUGAGUUGUAGCUUUUGGAAGCAGUUUCAAGCGACUGGUUGCGGUAAAAGUUCUUUUGAAUAAGACAUCAAAGAGGGUGAGAAUCCCGUCCUUGACCGUGAUUUAAGUUGUGAUACGAACUGUUUUCUGCGAGUCGGGUUGUUUGGGAAUGCAGCCCUAAUUGGGAGGUAAAUUUCUUCCAAAGCUAAAUAUCAGUAAGAGACCGAUAGCAAACAAGUACCGUGAGGGAAAGAUGAAAAGCACUUUGAAAAGAGAGUGAAAAGUACGUGAAAUUGUUGAAAGGGAACCGGUUGGUAGCCAAGCAUUUCCUAGCAAUAGGAAGGUCAACAUCGAUUGCUAUUUAACUGCCAGAAAGGAAAUUAUGCAGACUAGCGGAGGAAGGUAGGGAUUCGAGUUUCCAGAUCAUUCGUGGUUUGGUAUUAUGGCUCGAGUUCUGUUAUAGCCUCCAUGGGUUUGCUUUUUACGCCUAGUGGUGGUGGCGAUCGAGGACUGCAGCGCGUUUUCCAUUUUUAAUGGGAUGAUCUAAUUGUUUGAGAGCAUUGUAGUUGUGAUUUGGUAGACAGCAUGCUGACUAUCAUUGGCAAUUAUAUGAUUUUGGGCAUUUGGGAUUAAUAAGCGCUUUAGAUGUUGGCGAAAAGGCACUAAUCGACCCGUCUUGAAACACGGACCAAGGAGUCCAACAUGCAUGCGAGUAUCUGGGAAAAUUAAACCCAUAUGCGCAAUGAAAGUGAACUAGUAGAAACUUUUAUUAGAAUGCAACCGGGAUAGUAUCCUGGGCAGCAUCGACCGACUUUAGAUAGCGUUGCUUGAAAAGGUUGAGUAAGAGCAUGUAUGCUGGGACCCGAAAGAUGGUGAACUAUGCCUGAAUAGGGUGAAGUCAGAGGAAACUCUGAUGGAAGCUCGUAGAGAUUCUGACGUGCAAAUCGAUCUCCAAAUUUGGGUAUAGGGGCGAAAGACUAAUCGAACCAUCUAGUAGCUGGUUCCUGC